Long non-coding RNA from Salvelinus namaycush (lake trout), 234 nucleotides. RefSeq lists it as uncharacterized. NCBI's taxonomy places the organism in Eukaryota, Metazoa, Chordata, Actinopteri, Salmoniformes, Salmonidae. The transcript has 3 exons. The record is from RefSeq and is a predicted model, not a curated record.
ACAACGAUCACUAGAGCUGCAGGCCAGGACUGAAGAAGAGAAGAGAGAUUGGAUCCAAGCUAUCCAGGCCACCAUCCAAAGACAUGAACAGACGCUUGCGACGUUCCACCAUCUCAACUGUUCUCUCCGAGACGAGGACUACACUCCUCCCAACUCACCUAACUGUAAUGAGCCUGGGGAAGCGUGCCCCCACUCCGAUCCGGGAGAAGGAGGUGACUCUGUGUAUGAAGUGCC